ACGUCCUCUUCUCCUUCAACAAAUCUCUUACCAUCCAU
This 38-nucleotide small RNA is filed under the name Arabidopsis thaliana (thale cress). RNAcentral's name for it is "ATSL143910". The record is from RNAcentral. Lineage: Eukaryota; Viridiplantae; Streptophyta; Magnoliopsida; Brassicales; Brassicaceae.